Molecule: ribosomal RNA, 414 nt
Filed under: uncultured Funneliformis
Lineage: Eukaryota; Fungi; Glomeromycota; Glomeromycetes; Glomerales; Glomeraceae
Description: partial 28S ribosomal RNA
Source: RNAcentral
GAGAGUUAAACAGUACGUGAAAUUGUUGAAAGGGAAACGAUUGAAGUCAGUCAUACCAACGGGAAAUCAACCUUUUGAGUUUGGUCUCGUGGGUUUUGAAGAGUUUAAAAGCCUUCGGAUUUUCGAGAUUGGGUUCUUCUGGUGUACUUUCUCGUACGGUUAGUCAACAUCGGUUUUGAAUGUCAUAAAAUGACUGGAGGAAUGUGGCUUCGAUCUCGUAUUGAAGUGUUAUAGCCUUUGGUAUAUGUGAUGUUCGAGUCCGAGGAUUGCAACGGAUACCCUUCUGGGCUAUUCGUCUGAUCUCUGAAACGUUGCCUUGAUGUCGAAAGCUUGCUUAUGAUGUUAGGGUAUUACGAUCAAAAGGUUAGAACGGAUUAAAUUCGUUAAGGAUGUUGACGUAAUGACUUUAAACGA